CCUAAUUCCCCAGAAUUGAUUUUCUUCAACAGUCUUGGUUUAUUGUUACAGGAAGAUCUUUGUUCAUUGCUGGGAUAUGUGGAAUUUUUCUGGGAGCUGGAAUCCUCAUGUUGUGUUUGUUCCUGAUCAGGGUUUUUAAGAAGAAAGCAUUGCUUGAAGCUAGCCAUGUCGAAGGAACCCCUUCUGGAAGAGAACCUCAGGAGGAAUCCAAGUAUUCCAGCCAUAUCUACAGCAAUAUUUUCCCGAUGGUAAGAAACCCUUAUUUCGGCAAAAACAAUAACAACAACCACCUAGUGAAAAGAUACAUUAAAAAAGCCAAUGUAUUGAAAAGGGAUGCCAAAUAACUAAAAACAGAGAUCAGCAAGCUUAUGUCCAUUAAUCUUUUAGAAACCAUCAAACUCUGUCAAGGAUCUUGGAGUACUCAACUCUAAUGAUCUAAGUGCUAGAGCCCA
Molecule: long non-coding RNA, 452 nt
Filed under: Laticauda laticaudata (blue-ringed sea krait)
Lineage: Eukaryota; Metazoa; Chordata; Lepidosauria; Squamata; Elapidae
Description: lncRNA (ENSLLTG00000009564.1)
Source: RNAcentral